UACGACUACAUAUCAGGCAUAUCAAUAAGCGGAGGAAAAGAAACUAACAAGGAUUCCCUUAGUAACGGCGAGUGAAGCGGGAAGAGCUCAAAUUUGAAAUCUUCAAGGUUCUACCUUGACGAAUUGUAGUUUAUAAGAAGUGUUUUCUGUUGAAGUUGGAGUGGCAAAAGUUCUUUGGAAUAGGACAUCAUAGAGGGUGAGAAUCCCGUAUUUGACCAUUAUUUCCAGCUGUGUGAUACACUUUCAAAGAGUCGGAUUGUUUGGGAAUGCAGUCCAAAAUGGGUGGUAAAUUUCAUCUAAAGCUAAAUAUUGGCGAGAGACCGAUAGCGAACAAGUACCGUGAGGGAAAGAUGGAAAGAACUUUGAAAAGAGAGUUAAACAGUACGUGAAAUUGUCAAAAGGGAAGCGUUUGACACCAGUGUUGUUUUCUCGAAAAUCAAUUAAAAAUGAUGGGAUUUUGUGUUGUAUUGACUUUAUCAGCUUUCUGCACUUUUUUCUUAUCUUUUUUAAUGCACUUUUCGUUUAACAAGUCAACAUCAAUUUCUUUUGUUGUAAAAGAGUCAUUGGAAGGUGGCUUUUUCUUCGGAAAAAGUGUUUAUAGCCUUUGGCUUCUGCAAUCGGAGAGAUUGAGGUCUGCAGCGUAGAUCCUUCGGGGUUAGAUACAUUUGUGCUAAGCUAUAGCCUUUCAUAGACAACUUGUUGACUAUGAUCAGUCAUGUAGCUUACUCGCUUAUGCUAUUUUACCUACGCUUAGGAUGUUGAAUCUGUGCGAGACUAC
Molecule: ribosomal RNA, 778 nt
Filed under: uncultured Neocallimastigales
Lineage: Eukaryota; Fungi; Neocallimastigomycota; Neocallimastigomycetes; Neocallimastigales
Description: partial large subunit ribosomal RNA
Rfam family: Eukaryotic large subunit ribosomal RNA
Source: RNAcentral